This 388-nucleotide ribosomal RNA is filed under the name Spherillo dorsalis. RNAcentral describes it as "partial 16S ribosomal RNA". It matches the Rfam family "Bacterial large subunit ribosomal RNA", at positions 1945 to 2604 of the family's 2925-position model. The record is from RNAcentral. Lineage: Eukaryota; Metazoa; Arthropoda; Malacostraca; Isopoda; Armadillidae.
ACUGUGCUAAGGUAGCAUAAUCAUUUGUUAUUUAAUUGGUAACUUGUAUGAAAGCUUUGACGAGAAAAUAACUAUCUAUUUCACUAAAAUGAAAUUUAUAUUAAAGUAAAAAAGCUUUAUUCUACCAAAAAGACGAUAAGACCCUAGAAUCUUUAUUUAAAAUAAAUUUAUUGGGGCGAUACAAAUUCAAACAAAUUGUUAUUUCAACCCAGUGCGUGAUUUUUUUCAACUUUUUAAAAAAAAAAAGAUACUCUAGGGAUAACAGCAUAAUUCUUCUCUAGAGUCCUUAUCGACAGAAGAGAUUUUGACCUCGAUGUUGAAUUGCAGUUCCUUUUUAGAGCAGAAUCUAAAUAAGGGGGUCUGUUCGACCUUUAAUACUCCACGUGAU